AGCGAACGUUAGCGGCGCGCUUAACACAUGCAAGUCGCACGAGAAAGGGCUUCGGCCCCGGUAAAGUGGCGCACGGGUGCGUAACACGUAGGCAAUCUUCCCUUGAGCGGGGGAUAACGUUUCGAAAGAGACGCUAAUACCGCAUAAGACCACGUCUGGUUCGCCAGAUGCGGUCAAAGCUGGCCUCUUCUUGAAAGCUAGCACUCGAGGACGAGCCUGCGGCCCAUCAGCUAGUUGGUAGUGUAAUGGACUACCAAGGCGAAGACGGGUAGCUGGUCUGAGAGGAUGAUCAGCCACACUGGAACUGAAACACGGUCCAGACUCCUACGGGAGGCAG
RNAcentral lists this ribosomal RNA (337 nucleotides) under uncultured Pseudomonadota bacterium. RNAcentral describes it as "bacterial SSU rRNA". It matches the Rfam family "Bacterial small subunit ribosomal RNA", at positions 29 to 351 of the family's 1533-position model. The record is from RNAcentral. Lineage: Bacteria; Pseudomonadati; Pseudomonadota.